GGGCCCGUAGCUCAGCUGGUUAGAGCCGUCGACUCAUAAUCGAUCGGUCGCCGGUUCAAGUCCGUAAGCGUCCG
RNAcentral lists this transfer RNA (74 nucleotides) under Burkholderia diffusa. RNAcentral's name for it is "tRNA-Met". It matches the Rfam family "tRNA". From Rfam's summary of the family: Transfer RNA (tRNA) molecules are approximately 80 nucleotides in length. Their secondary structure includes four short double-helical elements and three loops (D, anti-codon, and T loops). The record is from RNAcentral. Lineage: Bacteria; Pseudomonadati; Pseudomonadota; Betaproteobacteria; Burkholderiales; Burkholderiaceae.